This 76-nucleotide transfer RNA is filed under the name Candidatus Zymogenus saltonus. RNAcentral's name for it is "tRNA-Lys". It matches the Rfam family "tRNA". From Rfam's summary of the family: Transfer RNA (tRNA) molecules are approximately 80 nucleotides in length. RNAcentral also lists the same sequence under 2 other names. Lineage: Bacteria; Deltaproteobacteria; Candidatus Zymogeniales; Candidatus Zymogenaceae. The record is from RNAcentral.
GGGCUAUUAGCUCAAUUGGUAGAGCAACUGACUCUUAAUCAGUAGGUCCUAGGUUCGAUCCCUAGAUAGCCCACCA